AAUAGAUACCCAGGUAGUCCACGCCGUAAACGAUGAGUGCUAAGUGUUAGAGGGUUUCCGCCCUUUAGUGCUGCAGCUAACGCAUUAAGCACUCCACCUGGGGAGUACGGUCGCAAGACUGAAACUCAAAGGAAUUGACGGGGGCCCGCACAAGCGGUGGAGCAUGUGGUUUAAUUCGAAGCAACGCGAAGAACCUUACCAGGUCUUGACAUCCUCUGACAACUCUAGAGAUAGAGCGUUCCCCUUCGGGGGACAGAGUGACAGGUGGUGCAUGGUUGUCGUCAGCUCGUGUCGUGAGAUGUUGGGUUAAGUCCCGCAACGAGCGCAACCCUUGAUCUUAGUUGCCAGCAUUUAGUUGGGCACUCUAAGGUGACUGCCGGUGACAAACCGGAGGAAGGUGGGGAUGACGUCAAAUCAUCAUGCCCCUUAUGACCUGGGCUACACACGUGCUACAAUGGAUGGUACAAAGGGCUGCAAGACCGCGAGGUCAAGCCAAUCCCAUAAAACCAUUCUCAGUUCGGAUUGU
RNAcentral lists this ribosomal RNA (526 nucleotides) under uncultured bacterium. RNAcentral's name for it is "bacterial SSU rRNA". It matches the Rfam family "Bacterial small subunit ribosomal RNA", at positions 777 to 1301 of the family's 1533-position model. The record is from RNAcentral.